Molecule: long non-coding RNA, 272 nt
Filed under: Elaeis guineensis (African oil palm)
Lineage: Eukaryota; Viridiplantae; Streptophyta; Magnoliopsida; Arecales; Arecaceae
Description: long non-coding RNA (EGUI_LNC013904)
Source: RNAcentral
AUGUAGGGUGUACAUCUAAUAGAUGUUGUAGUACUAUCUUUGAUGAUUAGUUCUUUGGUUAUUAGUAAUAGUUAGAAGAAUUUUAAACAUCUUAAGUUUAAGAUUAGUGGAUGGAUAUUCCUUGGUUGAGCUCGGAUGUAGAAUGUUUGUAUAUAGAUAUCCUUUUCUUAGCUUUGACAUUAUUAUUCCAUUUGUUCAAAUGGAUUUAAGGAUUUUCUACAAUAAAAACUUAAUUGUUACAUCAUAUAGGAAGUUAAAAGAAUAAAGAAGGU